CUUUUCACCCAAGGGGUACAAUUUGAACAAUUUUGGUUGAGGACCAUAAGACAAUGCUACAAACCAAAUAUCAAAGGUCUAACUGUUGUGGUUUCAGACAAGAUUUUUAAACUUUAUAAGUCUAUGUAAAACUUGGGACCCCCGGGGUGGGGCCAUAUUUGAUCCUAGGGGUAUAAUUUGAAAAAUCUUGGUAGAGGACCAAUAGAUGAUGCUAAAUACCAAAUAUCAAAGCCCUAGGCCAUGUGGUUUUGGACAAGCAGAUUUUUAAAGUUUUUCCUUUCGGUUGCCAUGGCAACCAGAGUUCUGGAUGGAAUUCAAUUCUUUGAAAAAUUUUGAAAAGGGGCCACCCAAGGAUCAUUCUUGUGAAGUUUGGUGUAAUUCUGCCCAGUGGUUUUCAAGAAGAAGAUUUUUUUAGAAAUUGUUGACACAGGAUGCACGACGAACAGCAAGCAGUCACAAUAGCUCACCUUGUCACUUCGUGACAGGUGAGCUAAAAAGGGAUCUGCCAAAUAAAAACAAGAGCACUGCAAUGUAUAGCAAUAUACACAAAGCAGUCAUAUAUGACCUUGACCUUGAAGCGAGUCAUCCAAAACAUGCGCUCUGCACGUUGCCUCAGUGUGGUGAACAUUUGUGCCAAGUUUCUUUGAAAUCCUCAAGCAGUUCAAGAGUUACAGAGCGGACACAGCAAAGUCAUAUAUGACCUUUCACCCCUGUGACCUUGACCUUAAAGCUAGUCAUCCGAAACAAGCGCUCUGCAUGUCAUCUCAGUGUGGUGAACAUUUGUGCCAAGUUUUUUUGAAAUCCUUCAAGCAGUUCAAGAGUUACAGAGCGGACACGAAACACACUCAUAUGACCUUUGACCCCUAAGUGUGACCUUGACUUUGAAAUGAGACAACCAAAACAUGCACUCUGCAUGUUGUCUCGGUGUGGUGAACAUUUGUGUCAAGUUUCUUUGAAAUCCUUCAAGGGGUUCAAGAGUUAUAGAGACAUGAAAUUGCUAACGGACGGACACCGGGACCAUAAUAUAAAACGUCCCUUCGGGCGUAUAAUUAAGAAACUAGAAGAUACUUUUGUAGAAAAGCUCAUGUCUCCCCCACUGCAUAGUCGUAUAAGCAAGAAGUCAAUAGGGGACAGGAGCGAAAGUCAAAGGGACACUGACGGUUGGUUGUAAUAGGGAUCACCUACUUGGCAAGCGUGGAUCCAGCUAGUUUUCUCAGAGGGGGUCCGACCGACCCUAUACUAUGACAAACAUGUCACCCUGCGCCCCGCCUGUCUUUAUACACUUAAUAAUUCGUUUUUUUUUUUUUGUUAGCCGCUUUUUUUUUUAACAGGCUGAAACAGAAAAUUAGCCGACAAGGUAGGAGGAUCUGGGGCAUGCACCCUGGAAAAUUUUCAAAUUCAGUGCUUCAUUUCCCGCAUUCUGUCGCAUUUUAGGAACAUUUAAGAACACCUUUUCCACUGCAAUUUUAUAUACAAUAUACUCCUUUUUUCACAUUUUCCACGGCGACCUGAAUACAACGUCUAACCAACGUCAUAACCACGAAGUCUAAUAGACUUAGACGUCUAGGAGACGUUAGAAUUAGGUUGGAUAUUAAGUCUGUUUAAAUGUUUUCAGUUAUAAAAUUAACUGGUGUAAUUUUGCUAGUAUAGUUUAAAGAUAGUUAUGCCUGACAAUGCGCUUAUAAAUAAUAGUUUAUUCGCAAAUCAAACGUUAUCAUUAAUUAUGUUACAAAAUCGUACGAAAUUGUCUAUUUUCGGGAACGGGGUUUUUUUUACCAAUUUAAAACUGUUCAGGAAAAAUUGCAUUCUAUACACAUGUAUUAAUUAAUCUAAAUUCACCUAAGGAUCUUCUUCUACACAUGUUCAUUAGUCAUGCAUUCGCAAGAUAAGCCUGCAUCGGUUUACACAAGUCUUCUGGUAAUUUGAUAUUUGUGGGAUAAGAUAAAGCAAGUUUAUAAAUACUUUACACAAAGGGAUCCACAACAAGGGAAUUUUAGCGGAGUUGAAGAAUCAUGCAGAGAUGACUGAACUUGAAAGUUUCAAUUACUGGAUUACCUUUUUGGAUUUAUGAUAUUAGACUUCUGUUGCUAUCAUGUGAAAUAAAAAUGAUAAAAUA
This is a long non-coding RNA of Mercenaria mercenaria, 2116 nucleotides long. RefSeq lists it as uncharacterized. The record is from RefSeq and is a predicted model, not a curated record. The transcript has 2 exons. NCBI's taxonomy places the organism in Eukaryota, Metazoa, Mollusca, Bivalvia, Venerida, Veneridae.